GACGAACGCUGGCGGCGUGCCUAAUACAUGCAAGUCGAGCGGAUUGAUGGGAGCUUGCUCCCUGAUAUCAGCGGCGGACGGGUGAGUAACACGUGGGCAACCUGCCUAUAAGACUGGGAUAACUUCGGGAAACCGGAGCUAAUACCGGAUAAUCCCUUUCCUCUCAUGAGGAAAGGCUGAAAGAUGGUUUACGCUAUCACUUAUAGAUGGGCCCGCGGCGCAUUAGCUAGUUGGUGAGGUAACGGCUCACCAAGGCAAUGAUGCGUAGCCGACCUGAGAGGGUGAUCGGCCACACUGGGACUGAGACACGGCCCAGACUCCUACGGGAGGCAGCAGUAGGGAAUCUUCCGCAAUGGACGAAAGUCUGACGGAACAACGCCGCGUGAGUGAUGAAGGUUUUCGGAUCGUAAAACUCUGUUGUUAGGGAAGAACAAGUACGAGAGUAACUGCUCGUACCUUGACGGUACCUAACCAGAAAGCCACGGCUAACUACGUGCCAGCCGCCGCCGUAA
Molecule: ribosomal RNA, 512 nt
Filed under: uncultured bacterium
Lineage: Bacteria
Description: partial 16S ribosomal RNA
Rfam family: Bacterial small subunit ribosomal RNA
Source: RNAcentral